This 721-nucleotide ribosomal RNA is filed under the name uncultured bacterium. Its description in RNAcentral is "bacterial SSU rRNA". It matches the Rfam family "Bacterial small subunit ribosomal RNA", at positions 60 to 792 of the family's 1533-position model. The record is from RNAcentral.
AGUUUGAAACUUCGGUCGAUUUCUAAGAUGGAAAGUGGCGAAAGGGAGAGUAACGCGUGGAUAUCUACCCCGGGAUCUGGGAUAGCUGCGGGAAACUGCAGGUAAUACCGGAUAAUGUCUCCGGACCAAAGGUGUGAUUCCGUCUCGGGAUGAGUCCGCGUCCUAUUAGGUUGUUGGUGGGGUAAUGGCCUACCAAGCCGAUGAUGGGUAGCGGGUGUGAGAGCAUGACCCGUCUCACUGGGACUGAGACACUGCCCAGACACCUACGGGUGGCUGCAGUCGAGAAUCUUCCGCAAUGGACGAAAGUCUGACGGAGCGACGCCGCGUGCGGGACGAAGGCCUUCGGGUUGUAAACCGCUGUCAGUUGGGAGGAAAUGCUAUGGGGCACUCUCCAUAGUUUGACCGAUCUUCAGAGGAAGUCCGGGCUAAGUUCGUGCCAGCAGCCGCGGUAAGACGAACCGGACGAACGUUAUUCGGAAUUACUGGGCUUAAAGAGUACGUAGGCGGCUUGGUAGGUUGGGUGUGAAAUCCCACAGCUCAACUGUGGAACUGCGCUCAAAACCACCAGGCUUGAGGGAGACAGGGGUAAGCGGAACUGAUGGUGGAGCGGUGAAAUGCGUUGAUAUCAUCAGGAACACCGGUGGCGAAGGCGGCUUACUGGGUCUUUUCUGACGCUGAGGUACGAAAGCUAGGGUAGCGAACGGGAUUAGAUACCCUGGUA